Molecule: long non-coding RNA, 23267 nt
Filed under: Lathyrus oleraceus (garden pea)
Lineage: Eukaryota; Viridiplantae; Streptophyta; Magnoliopsida; Fabales; Fabaceae
Description: Pisum sativum (pea) long non-coding RNA (PSAT_LNC031616)
Source: RNAcentral
CAUCGUAUCCUAUGUUUUGGGGGUGAAGAUUGUUAUUACUGAAAGGUCAAUUGCAUCCCAUGUUGAACAUGGAAAUAAGUGGAGGAAAAAGGAUUUACAAACAUCCCUCCUAGGUCAAGCGUAUUACUGAUGUAAUCAACCCAACAAUCUUCAAACCCAACACUGAAGGAAAUCCUUUCAAAGAACAAAGAGCUGCACCAGACCUCAAGAGUGUGGCUGAAGAUUAUUCUGGGAACCAUUCACCACGACCAGCCUCUAACUCCUCUGACUACAUCAAUGCAGACCAAAAUGCAUUCUGUAUUAUUAUCAGAAGGGAGUUGAAGAUUUGCUUCCUGCGCUUCUAUUCAGAUAACUGAGAGAUUCUGUCAGAGAACCAGAAACAAUAUGAAGCCCGAGAUCCUACAUCCCUCGGGAAGAUUGUUAUCUGAUGUCUUCAUUGAGAAUGGGUGGUGGAUCAUCUGGAGAAGGCCAAGCUGAUGGCUAGAUCUGGCAAUAGAUGUUGGGAAGCCUCUGAAUGCCAGAAAUCUCAAGAGUAUGGGAAUAAUUAAGAAGAUUUCAAGUCAACCCACUCUGGACACAUCCUGGGAAAUUGUUUGAAAGAUCAGAGGAAGAUCCUCAUGGCUUGCCAGUUCUUCAAGAACGACUGGGGCGGACAAGAAUACGAUGCGAAGUACAAAAUAAUGGAUAUGUGAGAUUAGAUGGAAUGGAAGAUCGACCUCGUGUUAGAAUCACGGCGAGGGGAGGACGGCCGGAGUCGAGAAGAAAUGGUGAUAGAUAAGAGAGGCAAAGGUGGAUUACAUGUGGAGACAGAGGAGAGGUAGGCAUCGCGAUCAAUAGUGGGCGGGCAACAAGCAUGGUGCGGCGCCGCGGGGCAAGAAAGGGGAGAGUGAUUAUUAGAAAUAAAGAUCCGAAUCCCAGAGUAUCGGUUGCCAUCUAUCUUAAUACGGCUGCUGGAUGAAGGUGUUGACAUCCUCUGACUUCACCCUCGACGAUUGUCUAGAUUCAGAAGAAGACUCGUCAGAUACAAGAGAGGCCUCUGAGAAGAAGAUAGCACCUCCGGCAAGAAGGCAAGAAUUGGAGAAGCUUCUGGAAGCAGAUCUUCAGCUCCUCUGAAAUAUAUCUGUACUGGUACGUCUGUUCCUUCUGUUUACCACUAAAUCCUCUGAUGGCUUCUUCUACCCUUCUCUUCACAACCUAUUUUACUACCCAUCUGAAAUCCCACCUUCAAAACCACCAGAACCUCCCACCUUCAACCAGUUCUAAAUGUAUGCCCGUACAUUCAAUAACCUCCCUCUGAACCUAACAAACCCACCCAAAGCACUUCCUCUUCAUCAUCCUCAGAACCAGGAAUCACCCCCAUAUGUUUCUAUCUCUUCUGACUCAGAAUAUCUGAACCCUGAUUCCCAAGCCAAUAGCCCCACAAUUUAAAUGCUCAUAAACCUUGCUUCACAACAACAAACACAAACACAAAUCUGAAGCAACUUCACCUCCACACCAACAAACAACACCAUACCCUUCUGUAAACUCAAACCCUCUGACCCCCACAACUCUGAUAUCACCCCACCAAAAUCUCGCUGCCACCAGAAACCAGAAACUGAACCUUUAGACUUAUAACCCUCUUUACGCUUCACCCCAAAGAUCUGAACCUCAACAGAUGCAGAAUCUGAACCCAAACUGAAUCAGAAAUCUGAACCUCAAACAUUAAAUCUCAGCCCCUGCCAAACUCUCCACCUCAUACCUCUGAACCUGAACAUGAACCUGAACUUUCUACAACCUACCCUGAGGAACCAUCAUGCAGGUGUAAGAAGCUUCAGUACAAAAGGUCAAGUUCCUGACCACUAACUAUGAAAUCAGUGAUGAUCCUAAUCUGUAAGGACAACACACUGGAACAAGACAUUGGCUGGAUGACCCUGAUCUUUUAGACUGAAGAGCAUAUCUGAACAAGUCAGAAAUGGCUAAAAUCAGAGAUGCUGAGGCAAGACUCCCAGGAAGACUUGCCAAAAGAGAAGCUGAAGCAGAAGGCUGGAGGAAAGAGAGAUUGGCCAAGGAAGCUGAGAAGAAGCAAGAAGACUAGAAGAAGAAGAAAAAGCUCGUCAGCUGAAAUCCGAAGGGAAAGGAAGCUGAAAGCUAAGGCUCUGGCGGAUGCCAGAAGCACAAGCUGCUGCUGAGCUGAAGCUCAGCAAGGCUUCUGACCUCCUGGGGGAGUCCUCUUCUGUGAUCCCUAUGGUUCCUUCAACUCUGAAAGAACUUAGCAAAUCAGAAAUGAACUCCGGGCCAGAAUGACAAGGCAAGAUACGUCAACGACAACAUCCAAGAACAUCCUUGCAAUGCUGCCUUCAAGAGAAAUGCCCAGCCUCCGACCCCUAUGCACUUAGGAUUUUUCAUUUAUUUUGCUUGCCUGUUGUUUUUUUUUUUUGCCUUCUCUGGAGUCUGAUGUUUUCUUAUUUCUUGUGCCUUGUGCUCUAUUUUAAUACAAUGUUUUUUUCUCUUCCAAUUAUUUUUUUUACUAUGUCUUUUUUGGAUUCUGACAAAAAGGGGGAGAAGUCAUUAAAUAGCUCUGAUGAAAAUAUUGUCGUAAUACUUAAGCAUUUCUCAACAUAUUAUUUCUUAAAAAUAAAAUUUUAUCUUAACACUGGACUUAAGAAAAUUGCAGAAGAUAUCAAGAACCUCUUUACUUAAAAACUCUGGUAAGAAAACUUCUGUGAACUCCCUAGCACUUAUCUCAGGGGGAGCUUCUGUUAUCUGAUCUAAUAUUAUCAUGGUUUCUCUGCUAAUUAAAGUUGUUUGUCAUCAUCAAAAAAGGGGAGAUUGAGAAACAAAAGACUGUUUCUACAACAGAUUUACCUGAUUUGAUGAAUAACAACGGGAUGAACGCAAAAUGGCACCCUAACGAAAGUUUCUAAGUGUGGCAGGAUUCUAAGAAAGAAGGAAAGAAAUCUGAAGAUAGUCCAUCAGAUAUGCAAAGACCAGAUCAGAUACAAACUAUCAAAAUGAUCAAGAAAGCACUGAAAGUGAAAACAAAGUUCAAGAAAAGUCUAAACUCUGAAGUAAAACAACAAGUAUCAGAUGCAAUCUGAAACAAGAAGUAAGCUCUAGAAGUUCUGACUCUGAAAACAAUACUCAUCUCUAGAUUCCCAGAAGUUUCAGCGCUAUUGAAAGAAACUAUCUGAACCUCAACAUAACAGAAACAGAUUCGAAAGAUUCCCCAGAACACAAAUACUCUGAGCAUGGGAUGCUAAUCAUGAAAGAGUAGUUAAAAGGUCAGUAAAGAUUUGCAAUGGUUUUCCUAAUUAAGAAAGAGAACGUUAAUCUCCGUUUUCAAUAAAGAAGAAACUAACUUGUGGUAAGUAGUCAUUUCAAAGGAGAGAAAGUUAUCCUGCAAGAGCCUAUUUAAGUGAUGGCGUAAAUUCCAUUUAAUAAUCCACACAGUUCAUUUACUACCUCACUUCUAUAUAAAAAGGACUGCCAAAUUCAACAUUCAGCAAUAUACAAGUAUAGCAAACAAGGCCCAAAAAUUAUACUGAAACAUCAACACUCCAGAAAAACACUCUUGCCUCAUAAGAUCUUCCACGAAGCUUUUGCUUAUUAACGUGAAAAACUCUUGUUCUUACUAUUGUAAUGAUCUGCUUUCUUAGAAAAGCCAUUCUAGUUACAUUAAUCUUCAUUUAAUUUGUUUGUUGAUUUCCUCAAGUGACUGCUGUGUAGUCUGUAUACUUGAGAGGACUAAGAGAUUUUUCUCUUAGACGUUGUUUGUAAUCUUUCAAGAUUAGUGGAUUAAGUCCUUGUUGAAGGCGAAAUCACCUUGGCCGGGUGGACUGGAGUAACUUUGUAUUAUAAGCGAACCAGUAUAAAAUCAUUGUGUGGUUUUCAUUUUGAAAAAGCGCUUAUUUUUCCAAACAAUUCAAACCCCCCCUUUCUUGUUUUUCUCACCUUCAAGCAGGACCUAGUUUUAAGACUUUUUAAUUAUGUUAUAAGGAUGCUGAAUUGUGUCAUAGCUCAUACUGCAACUGCGAUCAGAACAGGCAUAUGCGGUAUUCAGUGUUCUACUUUUUGAUAGGAACUGAAAAUCUCUUAAUAGUAUUUAUCCAACAGUAGGGGAUCUUAGUUCAUUACAAGAAAACAUACCAUUCAAUAGGUAGCACUAAAGAAAAAGAAAAUAAUGGAAAAUAUAAAGAAUGAAUGACAUUACAAAAACUCUGAAAUAAAAUUCUACUCACUGAACACUGUGGGAGACGAAAAAAGGAUUUUAUUUAUUUUAUUUUAUUUUAGCUGGCUCAACAUUCAGUCCUCGAUUUAGUAAAAAAAAGAAAAUAUAUAUAUAUACUCUACUGCAAUGCAAUUUAAACCUCGUUGCCUAUUGUAUUCUACGAAUUAGAAUAUGAGGAAAGAUACCUAAAAAGGGAAUGAAACAAGAUUUUAACCAAUCCUGGGUGGAAUAUAUUGCAUGUCAUUGACCUAAAUUAACAAUUAUGGAAUAUUACUGAAUUUGUAAGAUCCUAUGCAUAAAGUUAGAUACAAUAGAAACAGAACCAAGUCCUCCAUGGAACAAUCACAAUUUGAAACAAUCAUUCAUGAACCCAGACCAAGACAUUAACAUUACACACAAAGUGCUAAACUGUAAGGAUAUUAUGGAUCUUAUUUAAGAGGCUGGUUUAAGGAAGACUGUGACUCGGUUUUCAAAGUGCUAUGAGAAGUUGGUAAAGGAAUUUAUUGUUAAUUUGUCUGAAGAAUGUGCUGAUGGCAAGUCUAUGGAAUUCAGGAAAGUGUAUGUGAGAGGCAAGUGUGUAAAUUUCUCUCCUUCAGUGAUCAACAAGUAUUUGGGAAGGCCUGAUGAAGCUCAACCUGAGCUUGAGGUGACUGACAACAAAAUCUGUCAAACAAGUAUUUGGGAAGGCCUGAUGAAGCUCAACCUGAGCUUGAGGUGACUGACAACAAAAUCUGUCAAGUCAUCACUGCUAAUCAGGUAAGGAAGUGGCCUCUCAAAGGAAAAUUGGUGGCAAGUAAAAUGAGUGUCAAGUAUGCAAUGUUGCACAAGAUUGGAGCUGCUAACUGGGUGUCUACCAAUCAAAAAUCUACAGUUGCUGUAAUGCUUAGAAAGUUUAUAUAUGUUGUUGGAACCAAAGCCAAAUUUGACUAUGGCUCCUAUAUUUUUGAUCAAACUUUGAAGCAUGCAGGAAGCUUCAGUGUGAAGGUUCCUAUAGCCUUUCCUUCUCUCAUCUAUGGUAUUGUUUUGAAUAAGUUUCCAAACAUCUUAACUGAGAAUGAUUAUGUGAAGAAAAGAGACAGCCCUAUGUCUUUCAAUCAUAAGUUGUUCCUAGGUACCCAUGUCCCUGACAUUGUCAUGACAUCAGGUGAGACAUCACGUGUAAGCAAUCAGCCAGGUAAAGCUGUUGUCAUUGCAAUGCUCAAAGAAACCUGCAAGGAAUUAGAGGCAAGGAAGCUGAACUUGGAAAAAUUGAUUAGCUCUUUGGAGAUGACUGAAGGUGAUGUGCUAGCUGAUGGUGGAGAAUUUGGUGAAGUUGCUGUUGUUGCAGAAGAAGCUGAAAGACAAGGUGAAGAGGGAGAAGCAGAUGCCAGUCCUGAUGAUGGUACAUAUGAUGAUGCUGACUCUGAGUCAAAUUACUAGAACAUUUCUUGUGAUUGCUUGUAUUUUUAUUUUUUUUGGUCUGUAAUAUUAAGUGUUGCUUUGGCAACAUUUUUGACAAGAAGGGGGAGUAACACUUGUACCCCAGGACAACAUAUUUCUUUGAAGUUGAAGGUCCUCUAAAUAAGAGGUUAUGUUGCUGUUUGCUCUCUGCUUGAUCUUCUCUUGUGCUACUGCUGUUUGAAGUUUAACUUCUAUGUUUGCUAAGUGUAUUAGCUAAUUUGAUUCUCUGCUUGGAUGUGUGCUUUCUGCUGCUGUGAACUCUGUUGUGAUGCCAAGUUGUUUUAGCCAAAAAUUUGCCAAAGGGGAGUUUGUAGAUGUUUUUGGUUGGCUCAUUUAUUGUAAAAACUUACUGUACUUAGAUGGACUUGACUGAUGUCAUGACAUGCUUAAGUAGUAUGUCUGCAAGGAUUAGCUAAUACGGAUUACUGGAUGUCAAACUGAAUGUUAUGACAUUCAUUCAUGACAGCAUUUCUGGAUGUCAAACUGAAUGUUAUGACAUUCAUCCCUGACAGCAGAUGCUAAAGUAUAGGCUGAUUUUUCUGUUAUGUUUCAGUAUUUAUCCUCAGGCUGAUUUUUUCAAGGAAACUAACAGCGUGUGCUAAAUAAGAGACCUAGCAUAUAGCCUAUUUGUUAGCACCCUAAUGUGUGGAAAUUAGGUUUAACUGGCUUAACCCUAAUUUUAUGAAAUUCAAGUUCAAGGCCCAAGUACUGCAUUAUAAAAAGGAUGACAUACCUAUUUUCAGCAGUUGAGUGAUUUGAAGCGUGAAGAUUCAAUAUAUCAUUAUAUUCAUUUUGCAUUGCACUUUCAGUUGUGUCUUGAAUUAGGUUUUACCUGUGAGCCAAGCAAUUAUCACCUAGAUGAUUGCAUUGGACUAGGGUGUUUAUUGAGUUGUAAUUGUUGUGUCACUCUAAGCUUUUAAGCGUGAGUGCUGUGUUUCUUGAUUAAAGCUUUUAAGCAUAAUCAAGAGUUGUUUGAAGUAUAUCUUCACCAUUGACUUUAAAUUCUUAAUGGUUGUAAUCACUGCUGUGAUUGAGGGGGAGUGAGUAGGUACUCAGGUCUAAUUUAGAUGUGAAAUUGCAUUGGGUAGGUCUUAAGUGAUAGGAUUAAACUGGUGGUUUAAGUCUUGAAUUAAUACCUCUUAUAGUGGAUUUCCUCCCUGGCUUGGUAGCCCCCAGAGUAGGUGUGUUUGUCACCGAACUGGGUAAACAAUUCUCUGUGUCAUUUACUGCUUUUUACAUUUACUUUCUGCAUAUAUUACCUGUCUGUGCAAAAUUGGAUGUCAUAACAUCCUGUGUGACAUCGAUAGUCUGUUACUAGAAUUUUACGGAGUCCCAACCUCAUCCUCAACAUCUAUGUAGGAAAAGGAAGAUAUAUGGCUUACCAAGAGAGCCUUCUCUCCCCCUAUCACCACCAACUUCUUAUUCUUAACAAAUUUUAACUUCUGGUGUAGGGUGGAUGUCACGGCGCCUGCCUCGUGAAUCCAUGGUCUGCCCAACAAACAACUAUAUGAUGGGUGGAUAUCCAUGACCUGAAAAGUGAUAUGGAAAUCACUAGGUCCUAUCUUGAUUAGGAGUUCAACCUCACCAAUCACAGUCUUGCGCAAUCCAUCAAAAGCUUUCACGACCACUCCACUCUGCCUCAAGGGAGGCCCCUGGUAUGAAAGUUUGGCGAGAGUGGAUUUUGGCAACACAUUCAAUGAUGAUCUAGUGUCUACCAGCACAUUAGACAUGACAUCAUGCUUGCAGUUCAUGGAGAUGUAAAGUGCCAAAUUGUGGUCUCUUCCCUCCUCGGGGAGAUCAACAUCACAAAAAAUCAAAUUGUUACAAGAAGUAAUGUUUGGAACAAUGCUAUCAAAUUGUUCUAUAGUGACAUCAUGAUCUACGUACACCACGUCCAACACCUUAUGUAAAGCUUCUCGGUGUGGCUCAGAGUUCAUCAACAAAGACAACACAAAUAUCUCUGAAGGCGUUUGUAGAAGCUGAUUUACAACAUUGUACUCACUCCUCUUGAUGAGCCUCAACAUCUCAUCACAGUCCUCUUUCAUCAUGCCAUUCUGGCCAGCAGGGAAAGGAGUUUUAGCAGCAGCGACAGGUCUAUUAACAGCAAGUGCCAGAUUCGGAGAAUUAGAAGAAUUCCCCAAAGGACGAACAACACUAUCAGCAGUAUUAACUCUUCUGGUGUCAGCCUGGGGUUUCGGAGGCGCCGAGAAAACACGACCAAUACGGGUUAGACCACUGACAUCAGCAAUAUUCACAAUAGAAGUGGAGGGUAGGGGCACCUCCUUCCCAUCUUUUAAUGCCACUGCAUUAUAACGAUAGGGAACAGCUUUGUCGGAAGAGUAGGGCACAGGGCCGACUGGCUUAAUUAUGAGAGUAGGAGAAACCUUUUGCUUGCUGCCAUCAUAUCAGACGACAACAGGCUCAGGGAUCCUGAAUAUAGGUGAUAUCACAUUAACUUCAUCAUCCUCAUCACGAUUCUGAAGUAUCUCUAUCACACCCUGAUCCAGCAUUUCUUGGAUGUCUUUUCUAACUUGACGACAUCCUCUCUCAUUGACAGUGCAAACAACAUCCUCAUCACGAUUCUGAAGUAUCUCUAUCACACCCUGAUCCAGCAUUUCUUGGAUGUCUUUUCUAACUUGACGACAUCCUCUCUCAUUGACAGUGCAAACACGACAACUGUCGUGGUCAUGCUCAUAGUGACUGUAUCCGCAUAAUAGUCUGUGCAUCUCGACCAAAGAUUGUCUGAUAUAACUAACAUAUCGGACCUUGUAUUUGCCAGGGCAACCCUGAACCAUAUUGAUAGCAGACUUCCCAUACUCGGGCAAUGGGUUCUUCUUGACAUUAGGACCUACGUCCUCGAAAAACAAUAUACCGCUUCUCACAAGGUCUUGAACCUUGAUCUUCGACGGGUAGCAAUUCUCCACAUCAUGUCCGGGAGCACCGAAAUGAUAAACACAAUGAAGCUCAGGCUUAUACCACCAUUGAGGGUCGAUAGGUAUAGUAGGUGGGUCACGUGGAGUGAUCAGCUUCCUUUCAAUUAAAGAAGGAUAUAGCUCUGUGUAGGUCAUUGGAAUAGGAUCAAAACUGACCCUCUUCCUAUCAUAGCUUGUACUGGUCUGAUUGUUGUUUCGAGGCUGGUAGGCCUGCUGUUAAGGACGAUGUUGUUGUUGUUGAUACUGUUGAUGUUGUUGUUACUGGUUCUGAUUAUGAUGUUGAUAUUGCUGAUCUUCUCUGAAGACAGGUGCUAUAUGAGCCACCUGGUGCUGGUUACUGGCUGGACGCACAGUCUUCCUUUUCAUAGAGGGUCUUCUAGAUUUGACAUGGGAGGUCACAACAUGUGCCUCACCAUCUUUCUUCUUCGCAAAUGCCCCAUAACGUUUGGCAAAAGAGCCUUCUUCUCUAGUCAGGCGCCCUUCCCUGACUUCUUCUUCUAGACACAUCCCCAUGUUCACCAUCUCGGUGAAGUCAGAAGGAGCGCUAGCAAUCAUCCGCUCAUAAUAGAAUGAACUCAAGGUCUUCAGAAAGAUCUUGGUCAUUUCCUUCUCUUCUAGCGGAGGCACAAUCUGUGCAGCCAAGCGCUAGCAAUCAUCCGCUCAUAAUAGAAUGAACUCAAGGUCUUCAGAAAGAUCUUGGUCAUUUCCUUCUCUUCUAGCGGAGGCACAAUCUGUGCAGCCAAUUCUCGCCACCUCUGGGCGUACUCCUGAAACGUUUCUUUCUCCUUCUGGGACAUGGCCCUCAGUUGGUCCCUAUCAGGAGCCAUAUCAAUGUUGUACUUGUAUUGGUUGACGAAGGCUUUGCCAAGGUCGUUGAAGGAGCGGAUGUUCGCGCUGUCGAAACCCAUGUACCAUCUCAAUGCGGCACCAGACAAGCUAUCCUGGAAGUAGUGGAUCAGGAGUUGAUCAUUGUCGGUCUAAGUCGACAUCUUGCGUGCAUAUAUCACAAGAAACUCUAUCAAUGCAUCCUUAUCUCUAAGCUGCUGAAGUAGAUCCUCUCGCUCACGGACCCAAGCAUGCGAACGGUCUUCAUCUCUCAACUCCUCAACUCCUUGGUUAGGGAGGGUUGAAGGCCCAGCCAUAACCAUAAGUGUAGGUCUCGGAUAGUCAUAGGGCAUGCGGUACUCAGAAGCUCUCCUCCUCACCCAUGAGGUAUAGGGUUCCAAAGCAAUACAGUUCUUCGGACCAAGCUCUUUCCUUCCCUUCCUAUGAAUCUUGCACCAAGCGCGAACCAUCCUGCCCUUCAAGUUUUAGGGAUCUUUACCCUCUUGAAAGAACACACCUUCUAACAAAAUGUUAUUAGGUUUAUCCUUUAAGGGGAACCCAAGCUGACGACGUGCCAAAAUAGGGUUGUAGUUAAUCCCACCACAUGUACCAAGAAGAGGCACAUUGGAGAAUUCACCACAAGAGUCAAUAAUUUGCACACCAUCAUAUACACGGUUAUACCAAAAGAUAUCAUCAUUAGUGAGAGACAUAAGUCUCGUGGACCACCGUAGACAUCCUUUGUUCUCCUUGAAGGCGAGCGUCCGUGGCAAGUGCGAAAUAAACGACUUGUACAACAUAGGCAAACAACACACAAUGGUACCACCACCUUUUGCAUUCUUCAUAUGCAAAGAGAAAUAAGUGUCACCCAACAGAGUUGGAACGGGAUUAAGAGUAGAGAAAAUCCUAAUAGCGUUCACAUCCAUAAAAUUGUCGAUGUUGGGGAAUAACACUAGCCCAUAGAUGAGAAGUACAAAUAUGGCCUCAAAAGCGUCCUCACUCAAGGCCUUCCCAAACAUAGUAGCUUGAGCAAUGAGGAAAUCAGAUGGGAGACCUUGAAUUCCACCUUUGGUAGUCAUAUGAGCACCAACAACAGAUUCAUCUAUAUGGAACAGAUCAGCAAUCUCUUGGGAAGAAGGAACUCUCUCCAAGCCACUGAACGACAACUGAUCUAGAAUAGGUAUAUCCACAAGGUAGGCAUACUCCUCAAGCAUAGGCUAAAGCUGGAAAUCCGGAAAUGUGUAGCAACGGUACAAGGGAUCAUAGAACUGUACCAACACAUUCAUCAGACCUUCAUCCACCUGAGUAGCAAGAAUAGACAGAAGCUUCCCAUGACGAGCCUUGAACUCCAAGGGAUCUAAUACAUAGGAUGUCAAACUCCUUAACUCUUUCAAGUCAGGUUGUCUGAAACUGUACUUCUUCGUAUUCCUUCUUUGCUUAUCCAUGUCUGAAAAUUUGCAAAUAGACCUCUUAAGUUCCUUGAAAAAUUUCUCACUAUGGAUGAUAUGGAUGUGUUAUGAAUGCAUGAAUGCAUGGAUGCAACAAUCACACUCAAGGAUCAAGCGAACCACAACACACGUGUAUGGGAUGGAUCAAGUCAUCCUUAAUAUCAAUCAUCCAUUUUGGUGGAUUAUGGUUUACACCUUAUCAACACCCAAGUUCCAUUGAUAUUAAGGAUACUAAGAACGGAUCAACCAUGAAUCAAGGUUUGUUGCAAGUCACGAGCAUGGAUCUCGGUUAAGAACCACCCAAAGGGAGUGUACUAUGGUUAAACCUGACAAUCAUGUUCUACACGAGAGUUCCCAUAGUCAUCAUCCCAUCUUUCAGAUAUUAGCGGAUAAACGACUACUCGUAUUCCAAAAAUAUUCUCAAGAGAGACUCUUAUGAGUGUAGUAUCGCGUAACAAUCGUAUCAAAUCUUACACUUGAACGACCUUUGCACUACGUUCUAAAAAUAUGCCAAGAUGGGCUUGGUAAACUAAGGUCCUUGGUUUCCAAGGCAUAUAUUGGAAAGAGUAAUGCCUAACCACGACUACUCGUGUGACAUUAUUGAUCCCAACAUAACCUCCACCAAGUGAAUGGGCAGGCAAGUCAACUUGCUAAGGAAUAACUCCACACAAGUCAACAAGACUAUGCCAUUCUCCUAUCAUAAGUGGACUCGAGUUCGGGUAUAGAACUCAUCUCACAAGAGACCACCAAGCACACAGGAAAUUAAUAUAUCAAGCAAUUCAUACAUUACAAACAAUACAGUAAUCCCAAAUUUGCACAAAAAUAUGUCACAAAAUAAUAUAAGAAUACAAUACAAGAAAGGUGAAAAGUAGGCAAAACCCACUAGGCAAAUACAUAUCCCCAGCAGAGUCGCCACUUUUCUGUAGCGGGGUAUUCGUUACCUUUAGAUUUAUUGACUAAAUCAAAAGUAAUAGUAUGUUAAGCUCAGCGGUGGCGUGAAGAUAAAUAGGUUUCCUUUCCAUAGAAAGCGAACAAAAACCGAGAAGUUUUAUCAAAUCAAAAAUUAAUAAAAAUGUCAGAGAUCUGGGUAAGGGGGUUAGUUAUGCAAUGGGAAGGUUUUAAGCACCCAAAACAUCCUUAGUACUUUAAGGGAGCCCUUUUCACCAAUGUUGUAAGGUAGGUUGGUAUUUGUGAAAAAUAUUUGUGCAAACAUGUUGGGGAGAUGAGAAAAGAAUGUACAAUUUAUUUACAAUUUUGUGUUUGAAUGGAUAAACCCAUUGCCUACGUACCAUCUUAAAAAAGAUUAGGAUAAAAACCUCGUAGUUCGGGGUAAAAAUAUCAAAGAUUGGUGAAUUGAUUUGAUCAAAAGCCUUAAGGUCUUUUGUUAUCAAAGGGAGAAAACUCAACCUAAACCAACAAUCCACCAUGUGAGGAGAGCUUUAACAUGCUAGUGAGGGGUUAACCCUAUAAUAAGCAUGGAAGAAAUAUAGUCCAUCACUAAGGAUACAGGUGAGUAUUAUAUCAACCUCUAGGAUAACUCAAACCUAAUAGCUAAUGUUUAUGAUUUUUUUGGCAAAAGUGGCCAUUGAAACCACAAAACAAUUGAGUGAGUUGUAUUUACAAAUGAAAAGUAUUUACAAAGUUAGGUCAAAGUUGACUUAAGGAUUCAAUUCAAAAUAAGUGUUAUGAAAAGAGUUUGGAAAAUCAAAAGCAUAGUGCUUAGGUUUCUAAUUUUUGAAAACAAUGUUAAUGUUUGCACAAAAGUUUGGCUAAAUAAGUGUUAUGAAAAGAGUUUGGAAAAUCAAAAGCAUAGUGCUUAGGUUUCUAAUUUUUGAAAACAAUGUUAAUGUUUGCACAAAAGUUUGGCUUGGGUUAGAGUGGAGGGAAGAAGAAGAAUGGAUAAGUCCUAAACAUACAAAGAUGAAGGAAGAGAAAUAAAACCACAUGGAGUUCCCUUUCUUGAGAUCAUAGUGAUGAUCCAAGUUACUCCCAUCCUUUGGAAUUAGCAAGCAAAUAACGAAUAACUCAAGCAAUCAAGCAAAUAACAAUCAAGCUCCUAGGAAUCUUCCAAUGGCUUUUGUAUCUCUCACUUUGGGUGCUCAUGACAAUGGUUCUUCUAAUUAGCUCAAGUUUGGGAUCCCUAUCACACAAGAACACACAAAUAAAAAAGUUUCACAAUACAAAUAAAGAAUGGACAAGAGUGAGUUUAGAAUUAGGCCUUUUCAAUGUUCAUCUUCAACAUUAAGCACUCUAAAGGCAUGAGGUCUAGUUGCUGUUUGACAUUUUUAGCACUCUAAAGGCAAUGAGGCUUAGUUGCUCUUCAAACUCCAUUAACAUAGGUAAGGUCCUAAAAUCUAAGUCCUUUUGUCCAUUUGCAUUGGAUUCACACAAACACAACAAAACAAGCACAAUAGUAUAUACACAAUAAUGUGCUCAAGUGAGCAAAAUGCAAAUUGCAUUAACAUAAACAUGAGCUCAAGUGAGCAAAGGGCAAAAGCAAAUGAAUUAAUGUUCAAGAAAUUAAAUUGCAUUAAAAUAAAUUGCAAGAAUUAAAGGCUUGAACUAAAAGUUAGUGUUAAUAGUUAAUGUUAGUGUGCCAUAAGGCAAUUUAGCGCUAUGUUAAGCAAUCGUAAGUGGACUAAUGUAGUAGUCACACCUAUCUGAGGCCGGUCAAUAAAACUAUGCGCAACAAACACAAGUUAGAGACCAUGACUAGUAAGCCAAGCUCCUACAACUUGCCAUGCCAAAAGAAAAGAAGAAUGAUCUUGUAUUGAUUUAGGUUUUUUCCUUGACCAAGAAGCAACCUAUCCUUAAUGCAAACUCAUUCACUUGAUCUUUGAUCAAGAUGAAUUAGAUUUGAAUCAAGGAAGGUUAAGCCUCUCAUAUGUCAAGGCUAACCACCAAUCUCUAACUCAUUGAUAAAAAAAAGAAAAAGAAGAAGAAGAAGAAGAAUAAGAAUGUACAUGAAUUGAAAUUCAAAUGAAAUAUCCAACACACAUUGAUCAAACAUGAAUAGAAUCAAAAUCAAUCAAUGGUAAACAGAAGCGAGAUGAAGCUUAGAAGUCAAGAAACAAAUAAAAUAUUUUUGGUAUUUUUGAGAAUUAAAAUAAUACUUGAAUUAAAAUAAACAAAUAAAGGUCAAACUUCAAAUCCAUUUCAAAUCAACUUGGAAAAAAGAAACAAAUAAAAUAUUUUUGGUAUUUUUGAGAAUUAAAAUAAUACUUGAAUUAAAAUAAACAAAUAAAGGUCAAACUUCAAAUCCAUUUCAAAUCAACUUGGAAAAGUCCAAAUGGAUCAUCCUAAGUUUAACAAAAAAUUUCAGCAUUUUUAGAAACCAGAAACUAUUUUUAAACAAUUAAAUAUGAAUAAAAAACAACAUAAUUGAACUAAAAUCUCAAAUAAAUCUCAAAUCAAUUAAGAAAUAGAUGAGAAUAUUUUCAUAGAUUCAUCAUCAUUCGAAGAUGUUAAGAAAAUAUUUUUGCAUUUUUUGAAUAUUGGAAACUAUUUUAAAUGAAUUAAAAAAAACUAGAAAAUAGAAAAUUCACAAAAAAUGUCAAAUGAAAAAAAAAAAUAUUAAAAAUCAUUUUUCAGAAACUAGAAUUAAAAAGGGAAAAAAUGCAAUUGGUCCCAUAUAUUUUGGAUUUAAAAUGAAAGAGUUAUGCAUUUUUGAAAUAAAAUGAAAUUAAGAAAAUAAAAUGAAUUAAAUCAGAAAAUGCAAAAAGCCUGGCGCGUUGGAUCAGAUUUCAUUAAAUGACGUGGAAGAUCUGAGGGCAAGGAAACGCGCACGCACCAUAGGCUUUGGUCAAAUGAGACACACACAACAUUAUUAAAAGUCAUAACAAUGGAAGGCAUAGAUCCAAUCUGGAAAUAUGAACCAACGGCCUAAAUGUAAUCUGGCAUGGUGGACGGUGGUGUACACCACCGUCUUCUCCGACGAGCAUGUUAGCUCCGGUGACAUUUGCAGGUCAUGAAAUCUCAACCAAAAUGGACGAAGGAGUAUAGUAACCUUUCGACCCCACUACAUGUAGUGGGGAGUGCCAUUGGUUUCUCCUCUAGACUCUCAUAGAAAGAGAAAUCAGAGAUAGAAAAUUAUGGAGUUCAAACUGAACUUGAUGGAUUCAUGAAAUUAAAUACACAAUUCAAUUGCCUUUUAUGAGAGGACUUCAGAGGAGCCAACAAACACAAGAAAUGAGCAAGAUCCAGUGAGAUUCGAAUUGAAAAAGUUUGAACAACAACCUUUGAAGUGCAUCUCUAUGAAGCACGAUCUCUUCCAACUCUUUGCUUCAGCUUGAUCUUAAGAUGGAAAUGAAGUGAGGCUAAGGAAUUAGAGUUCAAUAAUUAACCAAGGAAGUUGAAAAUUGAAACUGAAAAAUUGAAAGAGAAAUGCAAAAAUUCCUUUGAGUGAGGUGGGGAUUCAGUUCUGCAGCAUGUAAGGCGCCUUAAGGUUUAUCAUGAAUGAAGUUGAGCACUUGAAUUUAUAGCCAAGGUGAUGUAAGCAAGGUGAAAUUCAUGUGUGCAUGAAAUGAGAGCCUUCAUGCAUGGGCCUGUACAGGCGCAGGGGAGGCCCAAACUCAAUUGCAAAUGCAAGCUAAUCAUCAGCAAAAUGAAUUUGGACGUGCAGUUCUGAUGGAAAUGGCUUGUGUACAAAGUUCUCACAUAGUUUCCAUAAAUGCACAUAAAUAUUUACCUCUUAGAAAAUACCUCUUACCAAAAUGAAACAUGGCCUUGUGGAUAAUGGUUGGAAAGGUCUUGACAUGAGGAACAAUUGUUAUGUUGAACAAAAAUCCAUUUGGAGUUGGGAAAUUAAUGAAAACAGGCCAUAAAGUUCAAGGUGCAAAACAUGUAUAUGGAAAUUUAGCCAAAAUGGACCAACUUCAAGCCCUUCUGUUUCAAUGAUGCAAGCCUCAAAUGACAAAACCUUCAACAUCAAAGUUGUAGAUCUUUUCAAGACAAUCAAUUUGGACUUAAAUUUUGCAUCAUUCGGAUUUUUGAUGAGAAAGUUAUGGGCACUUGAAGUUAGACUUUUUCACAUUUUAAUGACUUUGGUCCAAAGUGACCUAUAAUGUUUUGCAUUAUCACAUGUACUUCGUUUAGGAUUAUGAAAAUUUGUCCAACAUAAAAAUUGAAGUAGACAUCUUAAAAUCAAUAAUGACCUAUAAUGUUUUGAAAUGGAUGAUGACCUUCCAAGCUUCAAAUCAAUUUUUAAUGAACAUGAAAGUUGUUCAUAUGGUUCUUAAGAACAUUUUUUCUCUUGGGGUCAUCUUCAUUUGACAAACACAUCAAAAGUUAGGUCUCAGUGGAUUUCAAAAUAGUCAGAUGAGUUGACUGAUCAACUUCUCAAGUUCAAACUUCAAAUCUUGAUGAAUUGAUGAUUGAGGACACUCACAUAGGCACAUAUAUGCAUGAAAUGAUUAAUGAAAGAACUUCCCUUGAUUGUAUUUGAUCAUGGGUUAAGGUUGCUUCAUGAGCAAGGGACAGUUGAUGCAUAGUUGAAUUAGGGUUUCCUUGGGAAACAAUCCUCCAGCCCUUUGGUUUAUCUUGAUCAAAUUGACAAAUUGAGAUACUUGGAAGGCAUAUAUGAUGAUUGAGAUCUUUGUGAACCAUUUUUAUGCUUGCUUUUAACUUCAUCUGGCCAUUCUUUGAGCAUAGGGGCCUCAUAGGAGCCUUGGAUCACAUGCUUUCUUGAGCUACAAGACAAAAGAUGUUAGUGACAUAUUUUUGCGCUUUUGGUUAGUAAACAAAAUGAGAAAAGCAAUAAUAUACAAUUCAAGCAUGCUUGGUGGUCUCAAACCAACUAACACAAGUCCCACCCUAGGGUUAAGGAGCCAAGAUGCUAUGAUCCUUGAGGCAAAUGCAAUGUGCAAUGAUAAGAUGCCAUGAGGGAUCUUAGGGUCAAAAUUAGGGUCUUACAGUUGUGAGACAGGGGGUAAUUAAAAAAGGAAAAAUACAUCUGAAAGAUGUAAAACCUCAUAGGGCCCUUAUAGUAUGAAAGUUAUGGAGAGAACUAACACAUUCAUCCACAACUUUGAUGUGUACACCACCAGUGAAGUAUAAACCAAAGAGAGGAGUUAAGAAGAGUAGAAAGGAUGUAGAGAGUGAUGUGCAUCAUGAUCCUUCAUAGUGGGAGCCUGGUGAGGGCUCGCAGGGGAGUCAAACUACAAAGAGAUCAUGCAAGAAACUAACAGGAAUUCAACCUUCAAGUCUGCCAGGUCAAAGUUACCCAUCAAGUAUGUCAGGUCAAAGUCAACCGACAAUUGCAUCUUCGAGGCAUCUUUACUUGUCUCAAUUUCCUAGUUUCUUGCAUCCCUACAUUGAUGACAUUGUUGAUGUGGGUGACGAUGGAAAUUGUAAUUUUCGCAUUAUUGCAACUUUACUUGGAUGGGGCGAAAAGUCAUUGUCGUUGGUUCAGACGCAGUUAAAUACUCAAGUUCAUCAACACCCUAAAUUGUUUUCCAAUUUAUUUUGUGACACGGUCUCUGAAGUUAGAAAUGCCUUAAAACUAGAACACUUGGGUGUGCAAGGUCGAGAAAAAUGAAUGAUGAUUCCAGAUAGGGGUUACCCUAUUGCUAGUAGGUACAAUGUCAUAUUUGUCUCGCUAUCAAAGAGACUUAACAUUUCUUUUUUCCCCCUUACAUUGGCUCCCUCUAUGUAUACGUGCAACAUAAAAUUGAAACCUGAUAGUCUAUUACAACCAAUCACUGACCGUUGGAGACAGAAUUAUACUGAAGAUGCAAAAGCAUGGGAAUCAACAUAUACAUGCCGAAUUAGGCACUAGGAAGAUGAAGUUAGGAAAUCAUUUUAAGUAGUAUUGAAAUCUUGUACGUAGAACAACUUUUGUGGUAAAUAUGUAUCUAUUAUAUAUGAUAACUUUUUAAUCGAACCAUUUAUGGAGGUCAUUGCACCAAAAAAAUUGAAAUUUCAUGUUUUUGAGAAUUCUGGGAGUAUAUUGGAAAUUUGACAUAAUUUGAAAUUUCAGGUAUACCUGAAAUUCAAAAUUUUCGGGACUUUUAACCAUUUUAUGCAAAAGUCGUGAUUUCCAGUAUAACUCUUUUGGAAAAUUUGAAAUUUCCAAUAAAUGCUUUUCGGAAAUUUGAAAUUUCCGGUACCUAUCUUACAACAGCGGUAAAAACAUGUAAGUUCACAACAAAAAAAUAGUAUUCGCUUAAAGUUUCCGGUACGAAGCUGGAAAUUUCAAAAAUUCCAAAUUUUUUACAAGGAUAUCAUGGUCAUUUCUCUUUAGUUAGGGGGGUGGGGUCAGGUUUAAUUGGGGGGUGUCAAGUUAAAUUCUCUUUAGAGAGGAUGCCCGCUGAUUAUGAGUUGUAUGAGCAUUUACUAUGACAGUUCUUUUCGUGAAAGGUGGACCCAUGUAAAGUGAUUAUGUGUAUUUUUAUGCUUUCGUUAAAAUUAGAACGAAUCAUAAUUACUAUGUUAUUAUGAUUUUUUAUUUCUUAUGUGCAUUUAUGUAAAACUCAAAUGAAAAAGGUUAAAAUAACCUUACAUAUUGGGAACAAUAAUGACUAAACAUACAUAAGAAUCAUAACACACUAAAAAUUAAAAAAUAUUAAAUUUUUGGUGCACAAGAUGAAGCAGCUGAAGAUGGAAUAAGAGAGAGAAUAGAGAUAAUUUAAAUAACAAACUUCCACAACUUUUCAAAACAGUUACAGUAAAUGGUUACACAAUACUCUAUUGACAACUACACAUGUUUAUAUAUACAAACAAUAAUGCCACGCAGGCGAAAAUGCUAACCUACAUUAGCUAAGUUAUGCUUAACAAAACUAAUACUAAUAUUGAAUAUCUAUUAUUUCUAACAUUAUACCUUAUUUCAUAUUCAACUAAUCAAAAUUAACAACACAAAUUCCAUUCGUUAAGUGGAUAAAAUGAUGAGUCUUGAUCGCUUUUGUCAGAACAUCUGCAAGUUACUUCUGGGUGCUACAUCGUAUAACUUCUACCACUCCAUUGUAAACCUGACUUUUAAGAAAGUGAUACUUAGUAUCAAUAUGAUUUCUCCUCCCAUGCAACACUAGGUUCUUGGCAAGAUUGAUUGCAGACUUGUUAUCAAUCAUCAACUUCAGAGGCUUGUUUACCUUGAUCUUCAGAUCCUACAGUAAAUUCAGAACGCAAAUAGUUUGACAUGAAACCACAACACCUAUAAUGUAUUCAACAUCACAGGUUGAUAAAGCAAUAACGGGUUGCUUCUUGGAACACCAAGAAAUAUGACCUCCUAGAUACUUGAACAAAUAUCUAGAAAUACUUCUUCUUUCAACUCUAUCUCCACACCAAUCAGAGCCUGGGUAACACAUCAACUAUGAAUUAGCUUUUUCACCAGAAGGGAACAACACUCCAUACUACAUAGUCCCUUUAAUAUACCUCAGAAUCCUGACAACAACUUGGUAAUGAGACCACUUCGGGUUACUCAUGAACCUACUAACCAUUCCAACUGCAUAGCAAAUAUCUGCUCUGGUAUUACACAAAUACUUCAGAGAGACACCCAAAUGAUUGAAAUUUGUAGCAUAUACAUCAUCACCUUCAGGGUCAGAACCCAAUUUAUGAUUUGUUUCUGAAGGUGUGACAACGGCCUUACAAUCCAGCAACUCAAAUAUCUUCAGAAGCUCAAGUUCAUACUUCAACUGAUGCAAAAUGAUACCCUUCUCGAAGUACAAAAUCUACAUCCCUAGAAAGUAUAUCAUAUUUCCCAUAUCAAUCAUCUCAAACUCAUUCAUCACCACCUUCUUGAACUUCAUUAUCUCAUCUGAACAACUUCCUGUCAGCAAUAUGGCAUUAAUAUAUAGACACACCAAAAUCAUAUUUCCUUCAGAAGGAUACUGAACAUAAACGUCUUACUCCAUCUCAGACUUUCUGAAUCUUUGGAGCUUGAAAAAUGAAUUUAUUUUUAGAUUCCAAGCUCUAGGAGCUUGUUUCAGUCCAUACAACGCUUUAUGUAACAUGUACGCCAUCCCUUCCCGAUUCUUAAAUCCAGGAGGUUGUGACAUAUAUACCACUUCUUGCAAUGGACCGUUCAGAAAUGCAGAUUUCACAUUUAAAUGCAUCAGAGGCCAAUUCCUGUUAGCAGUUAUCAUAAUCACCAGUUUGAUUGUCUCAUGUCUUUCUCGGGAGAAAACACCUCAUAGUAGUCUAACCCGGUUUCUAUAGAAAAACUCUUUCCAAUGACCUUGCUUUGUAUUGGCCAAUUGAUCCAUUUGGCUUCAGUUUCACCUUGAAAAACCAUCUGACGCUGAUGGAUUUCUUGUCCUUUGGAAGCUCAGUAAACUCCCAAGUUUUGCUUCUUUCUAUAGCCUUAAGUUCUUCUUUCAUGGCCUUCACCCAUGCUUUCUUCUUGAGCACUUCUUCAACAUUAAAUGGUUCAGAUUCUACUAACAUGGAACACUGAAUGACUUCUCCCUCAAAGUCUAUUUCAGUAUCUUGUAUCAUGUCAAACUCUGCAAAUCUUAUUGGAAUGUUUCUGAUUCUUUGUGGCCUCUGAACUUGUUCAGAAUCUUCUUCGGGCGCUGGAACAGUCUCAUAGUUGGAACCCCAUAAGUACCACCUUCAGAGGCAUGACCACCUUUAGAGUGUGGAAUAUUUCUAGAGUAUGGAUUUCCACCAGAGUUAGAAUCUCCAUCAGGAUCAGAUUCACCUUUAGAGUCAGACUCGCCUUCCGAGUCACUAUCAGACUUUGAAUCACCUUUAGAGGCAGAAUCCCUUUCAGAAGCAGAUUCUCCUUAAGAGUUGCCUUUUGAUUAUGACUCAUCUUUAGAAGUUAACUCACCAGAGUUGGAUUGAAAUUUGUUUCAAUCCCACACUUAUGUUUUUUUCACAAUGACAUCUCCGUUGAACUCAACCUUGUUAAUGACAGGAAAGUAGAGCUUAUAAGCACAUGUAUUGUGGUACCCUAAAAGCAAUAUAACUUUGCUUCUGUCAUUCGACUUCACUCUCUUAGCAUCUAGAACAUGUUUGUAAUAAAUAGAAUCAAACACCUUCACAUGGAUCACACUUUGCUUAUCUCUAGUCUACAUCUCUAAUGGAACAAUUUCCUUCAGCUUUUUGGUUGGACACCUGUUGAGCACAUAUGUUGCAGUGGUAACAGCUUCUCCCCACAAGGUGUAAGGAAGUUUUUUCUCCUUCAGUAGACUCCUUGUUGUCGUACCCCAGUUUUGUCCAGGCAUUUUCAAAUUUUCGUAAAUUUGAUUUCAUUUUCAAUUUGCAUCAUAUGCAUAGCAUGACAUGCAUUUCAUUAUGAAUAAUACCUAAGAUAUCAGUCGGAAUAAAUUAUUGAAAAUACAGACAAAUUGGUUAAAUCAUUUCUUAAGAACGUGCAAAAUCAGCGGGUAAAAAAUUUCAAAAUUAAAAAUCGCAGAUGCCAAUAUUAUUAAUUUACGGUUCACGUAGUUUAACUUGGUGUGCUCGUUAUAUUUUUCAGUGACUUUUUCAGUUGCAUUUUGACCCGUCUGAGUCUUUCAACCAGUAAAAAUUUAUUUCAGAAUUUGAAGAAACGCUGUAUUUUUUCAAUAAGUAUAUUUCAUGCUGAUCAUUUUAGUGCAUCCGAUUUAAUUUUUCGAGCAAAUUUUCAUCCGACUUCUAUUUAUAAUCGGUCAUUUUAUUUCUUUGUUCAAGUAUCCAAAUUAGAGAUUGUUUUAUUAUUAUUAUUAUUACUAUUAUUAUUAUUAUUAUUAUUAUUAUUAUUUAAAUUGAAAUGGUAUUUAGAAAUUUUUAAUAAGCAUUUUUCUUUAAUAAUAGAUAAUAAUAAUAAUUGUUGUCAAAAGAAAAUAUAUCAGCAUCGGAUUCCUUGACAGCUAGCAAGAUUCACUCUUAUCCCUAUUGGAUUUCUUUUGGCUGAAAUGGAAAUCCCUUCCAAUCAGUGGAGGACACGUAACCACAUGGUCCCCCACUCUCAAUGGUCAUCUCUCUCUUAAUCCUCCCUCUUUCCACUCAUAAUAGGGGCUAACACGAAAAAGAAAAAAAAGAAGAAAAAGUUGAGCACGAAAAAGAAGAUGGAAAAACUCACUCACCUCACGUCUCUCUCUCUCCCCCACUCAUUUUACUCCACCCACUCUUCUCUCUCUCUCUCUUUCAUAAUAAUGACUAACCCUCUUCUCUUUCUGAUCACUCAAAUUCUCUUUUCAAAAAAAUAAUAAAACGAAAAGAACAAAACUCUUCAUCUUCCUUUCUCUCCACCUCACCUUCUUCCAUCACCAUCACAAAUCUGACUCUCCAAGUAAAUCUUCAUCUUCGCUUCUCCACCUUUGUUUAACCUAACGAAACACCGCGCGCCGCCGCGAUUACAUGCACAACCAAGCACUUCCCUCCUCUCACACACCCUUCACGAUAACCAUCCUUCAUUUUCCGAUAACCCAAACCCUCAGUCACCGGCGAAACCCUCAGAGCAACCACCAUCUCCGUCCGCGUCAAAGCAACGACCUCCAUACCUCCGUCCUCCAUCGAAAUGCGCCACGAUCCGAAUCACACAAACAACCUUCACAACCAUGACAAUACCACAUCCCUUGAUGUUUUCUAGAUGAUUGAAAGCGUUUUAAAAUUAUCUACUUCCUAGAUUUGGUUGUUGAUGGUCCGAUGGCGACUUCAAUGCACAAUAGAGCUUUGAGCUCAAUCCAUGGACAUUUCUGCUUGGGCGAGAACAAGGGAGAAAACCUCAUGUUUUCUGGAAGGACGUGAGCAAUAAAGCACAGAAGCAACCACAUCAAUCCUUGGACAAUCGGUAAUGUUUAAGUUCGUAUGUUGUAUAGAUUAAAUUCAAGAUUUGUUUUCUGUUUAAGCUAUUUUAGUGAAUUGAGAUUGGAGUUUUCAUGUUGAAAACUUUGAGUUGAUUGUUUGAUAUUCAUUUCGACUGGGUGUGUUUGCCAAAUUUGUUCGGGCGUGAGCUUAUUGUGAGUUUUAUUAUGAGUUGCUUAUUUGAUAUUCCACAUUGUAGUGAUGGUUACAGGUUAUGAAAUAUUGGUUCAUGUUGCAAAUGUAUGGUGAGGCGUUGAAAAUAUGUUGCUUGCAACACUUGUGAUAUUGUGCCAGUAAAUGAAGAAUUGGAAAAAGAGAUCCUAUUUAGUUGUUUUUAUUUAACAUUAAUUUAGCAUGAUUGGUUAAUUGUUUUUUUGAGACUUGAGUUUAAAAUUCAGAUUUUGGGUCAUUUGAAUGGUUAAGAGAUGGGCUCGUUCUUUUACUAGCUUAGUGUAUCCUGGCUUUACUAAUAAUAAAUUUCCAUAUGUUGUAUUAAAUUUGUAAGGAUGUGUGCGAUUGAUGUUUCUGUUUGCGUUGCUUGAUAGAAUUUAUAAUCAAUGGACUCGACAAUAUAUGUCGUUAUGCCACCAAAAACCCAAUAUAUCAAUAGAAUAUUUUCACCGCGUUCGGAUCUUGCGAAUCAUAUUGGGCAUGUUAUUGUUUCGCACAAACCGGUUCGAGCACACCGAC